Molecule: long non-coding RNA, 624 nt
Filed under: Linum usitatissimum (flax)
Lineage: Eukaryota; Viridiplantae; Streptophyta; Magnoliopsida; Malpighiales; Linaceae
Description: long non-coding RNA (LUSI_LNC001933)
Source: RNAcentral
AAGAAAUCUAGUGAUAAGCACAUUGCAAAACAAUUAGUUCCAAAGGAAGAUCAAUCACUCAGCCAACUAGACAUCUCAAAGGGAGGAACUAGGUCACUGUUCAAGGUCUCACGAUACAGUCUAAGGAAAUCCUAUGUACAAAAAUUCAAAAUUGAAGAUUUUGCUCAUUGUAUUUUUGAAUCUCGCCUAGGACUUGAUCUACUUCCAAGGUUUUCGACCAUCCUGAUUCCACUACUCCCCCCGUAACUCUUCACCAAGCCUUUGCACUCACCAAGAUACCCAUCAUCGGCUAUUGCACUGAUUUUGAAAAAGCGGCUAUGGAAAAAAGAGUAAGAAAAAUUGACCUGGAUAUAUCCAAGUUUUAGCUGCCUCGUAAUCAAUCUCAAAACAGCUGCCUCCCACUCCCGGAACCCAAGCAUCUGUAGUUUCCUCAACAACCAACGUCUUCGUCUUCCCAAUGAAACUAUCUAGCGUCGCCUGUUUACAGUUCCCAGACGGCCGCUUCCCAUUCUUAACGAGAGAAUUGGAACAAUUCGAAUCACCCCCAGCAACCGAUUAUCCGAUCGGUUUGGGUUGAAUGAGGAGGUGGAGGGAAUCACAUUCUCGCAGGCCACGUCGAUUUCC